GAUGAACGCUGACAGAAUGCUUAACACAUGCAAGUCGAUGGGGAAGUGGUGCUUGCACCAUGGCAACCAUGGCGGACGGGUGAGUAACGCGUAAGGGACUUACCUGCAGGACUGGGAUAACAGGGGGAAACUCCUGACAAGACCGGAUAAUGUCAUGGAGCUGCAUGGCUUUAUGAUGAAAGGAGACGCCUGCGGAGAGCCUUGCGUCCUAUUAGCUAGUUGGUGAGGUAAUGGCUCACCAAGGCGAAGAUAGGUAGCCGGCCUGAGAGGGUGGACGGACACAAGGGGACUGAGAUACGACCCUUACUACUACGGGAGGAAGCAGUGGGGAAGAUUGGACAAUGGGGGCAACCCUAAUCCAGCAAUUCUGUGUGAACGAAGAAGGUUUUCGGAUUGUAAAGUGCUUUCAGCAGGGAAGAAGUAAGUGACGGUACCUGCAGAAGAAGCGACGGCUAAAUACGUG
Molecule: ribosomal RNA, 463 nt
Filed under: uncultured bacterium
Lineage: Bacteria
Description: partial 16S ribosomal RNA
Rfam family: Bacterial small subunit ribosomal RNA
Source: RNAcentral